RNAcentral lists this unclassified non-coding RNA (1078 nucleotides) under Hevea brasiliensis (rubber tree). Lineage: Eukaryota; Viridiplantae; Streptophyta; Magnoliopsida; Malpighiales; Euphorbiaceae. The record is from RNAcentral.
GCUUAUGCUAUAUUGUACCCUUGGAAAACUGUGUUUGAUUCAGCUAGUUGGGAAAAUCUUAUGCGCAAAUUUAUAGUUCCUAAGUUGGAGGUUGCAUUACAAGAGUUCCAAAUAAAUCCUACUGCUCAAAACCUUGAUCAAUUCUAUUGGGUCAUAUCAUGGGCUUCUGCAAUUCCAAUUCAUCUCAUGGUUGAUUUGAUGGAGAGAUUUUUCUUUGUCAAGUGGCUGCAGGUUCUAUAUCAUUGGUUGUGUUCAAAUCCAAACUUACAGGAGGUUCAUAAAUGGUAUACUGGUUGGAAGGGACUCCUCCCACCGGAGCUUCAGGCCCAUGAAAACAUUCGAUAUCAAUUUACUCUUGGCCUCAACAUGAUUGAUCGGGCUAUUGAAGGUAUGGAAGUGGUCCAACCUGGCUUGAGGGAGAGUUAUCUUAGGGCACAAGAACCAAAGCAGUUUGCAUCACAUGCUCAACAGCAACCUGCAAUGGGUGUGGGAAGCACAGUCCCGGCAGAUGGUGUGGGUGGUGGUCUUGAGAUGACUUUGAAGGAAGUUGUUGAGGCACAUGCACAACAUCAUGGCUUGCUAUUUAAGCCUAAACCUGGCAGGACAUACAAUGGUCACCAGAUUUAUGGCUAUGGAAACGUAAGCAUAUAUGUGGACUCACUGCAUCAAAGGUUGUAUGCCCAGAAAGAGGAAGAUUGGUUCCUGACAAACCUUGAUAAGUUGCUUGAGAUGCAUAACAAUUCUCUUACAAAGAGACGUUGAUUUUUAGAGCUCUGAGGAGCUGUUGGGUUGUGGAACAACUACAGGCUGAGAAAGCUGUCCUUCAGAUCAAAUAGGGUGUGAUGCAUCAUGCAUAAAAGUAAUCGAAGUUAAGAGGUCAGCUUUUCCAUAUAAAAUCAGCUUGUCUGUAAUGGGCAGUGCAAUUUGUUGUAAGAAAGUAGAAUUUGAAAUCAUUUUUGCAGACGUUAUCUUGGUUAUUAUGCAUUACUGCUGCUGAAUUAUUUACACUUGUAUUUCCUUGUUAGCUAAUCUUGUAAAUAUGUUUUGCCAUGAUAAUAUUAAGGAUAGUAUGUCUUUC